RNAcentral lists this transfer RNA (100 nucleotides) under Acinetobacter calcoaceticus. Its description in RNAcentral is "tRNA-Sec". Lineage: Bacteria; Pseudomonadati; Pseudomonadota; Gammaproteobacteria; Moraxellales; Moraxellaceae. The record is from RNAcentral. RNAcentral also lists the same sequence under 1 other name.
CAGUCUUUGCUUUCGGUUCAUUAAAUUGCGUGCAAGUUCAGCUUGUGAUUGAGCUGAUGCAAGGUUGGCGCGCGCUUGUGCUAAUCGUGCAACAUUGUCC